Non-coding RNA from Coturnix japonica (Japanese quail), 2513 nucleotides. Lineage: Eukaryota; Metazoa; Chordata; Aves; Galliformes; Phasianidae. The record is from RefSeq and is a predicted model, not a curated record.
CACAAGUUCUAUUUUGUUUCCAGUUCUCUCCCUCAUCCCACAUGUGGGGAGUGAGCCAAGCCCUGUGUGGUACUGAGCUGCUGUUGUGUUACACAACAACAGUCCAAGGCAUGAAUAAAGCCAUCACAGGCUCAGGUAUAUCUUCACCAAAUGAAGUCACUGCAGUGGACAUAAGGAUGAAUGUAAACAGUUGCAGCUGUGUAGUACUAGGGAGGCAUUACUGGGAAAUAGCUUACCUAUCUAUCUUUCCGGACAAAAGAGGCAAAAUAAUGACAGAAUCUGUUGGGGAUGUUUGGUAGCAUACAGAGAAGAUAACAUCUACUUCUCUCCAAGCAGGUAUUUAUAGACACAAUUUUAUUUCACUUGGGGGCCCUACUUAUUUUGCUCAGUAGCAAGUUAUUGUUCUUGCAAUAUGCAAAUAUUACUUGUAUAUUUGGUGGUUAAUCAGGCAGAACUCUAGCUUUCAAUUUUCUGUCACAUCACAGACAAAAGCACUCUGAACUGGAGUCACUUAUUGAAAAUCUUUACAGGAAAAAGAAUUCUAGACUUAAUAGCAAAGAAUAGCAAAAAUGAAGAACUGUUUCCAAAGGCACAGUAAGGAUCUAUGGUAAUUUCAAGCUUUCAACUUUGGUUUUCAAGGAAUGUGGGUUAAUACAUUUUAUUUACAGUACAGAUCUAUUUGAAAAUACCAAGUCAUAAAAAAUAUUUGAGAAUUUUAACAAUAACACUAUUCUUGGAAGAGAUCUUCCCUGUUAGGUAGGCAAUGUGCCCUCUGUACUAAAUUCUCAGCCCUAAAAUACAGAAAUAAUACAAAAUAUAAGGCUUACAUUGAUUGUAAAAGUAACGCUUAUGAUGUGAAAUAGAAAGUCACUUUUUCCAACUGAUAAGCAAUAGCAACUAGCAGUGAAAAACUCCAGAAGCAAUCUUGCCAGUAUCCAUACAGUGACUGUUCUGCUAACUGGACAAUAAUUUAAUCAUUCAUUUCUAGGACACAUCAUCUGUGUAUUACUUUUAAUACUUUAUCUACUGUAUUAAGAGGUUCAACAAACACACAUCCAAAAAGAACAAGGAAAAAACAGAAUUUUAACUGGAAAUUUAAAUGUGCUGAACUUAUACAAAGCUCUUAUGCAAGCAUCAACUGGAACAAUGAUUUUUAGCAUCACAAUACAUCUUCAAUACAUCUUCAAUAGAAGUCAAGCAAGAAAGAUGAAUAAGUAAAGAUAAAGAAAGAACGAAUCAUUUGAAAAGAAUGAGUGAAAAGGAAAUAAUGGAUAUAUAUAAAAAUUGGUAUAAGUACAGGAAAAAUCAGCUUCCAUGAGAGAAAGCAAAGUAGCUACAGUACACUGGUAUUUCAUAGAACAGUCAAGGCUGGAUCUUUUGCAAUUGUAAUAACUGUAAUAAAGACUUAAUAACACUUUGAAAGUUAAGAGCAUGGACAUCUUCUGUAGUGUACCUCUUGUGUCAGAGGUGCCAAGCAAUGCAGGCAGUUAACAAACCAGUUUCUGCAGAGGUGAGCAGCAGAAACUGACCAAGAACUGAAAAUUUGUGCAUACUGAAGUUUAAUGAAGACUCUUUUAAAGUAAAAAAGGCAGCGAAAACGCUUUGUAAAACAGCCUUACUGUGAAAGAAGCUUGGAUAGGAUGCUAUGAUGCCACCUUUUCUUCUGAAGGUACAGAUGACAGAGGGCAAUGCAAGGCACACAGAAAGAUAUUUAUCAGUGUCACCAUAGGAACCAUUUUGCAGAACUGUGUAGGAGCAAAAAGCCUGACUGAUGGAUGCAUUUGGUUUAAAAAAGAAAAGGGGGAAAAAAAAAAACAACAAUAAACAAUAAGCCUGAAAUAUAAAUCAGCUACAAUGUACUUGGAUUGGAAGACAGCACCACAUGGGACCUGAUGCAUGGGCAAAUCAAGAUAAGAGCAAAAUCAUAGUUCAAUUCACUGUAAAGACAUUGCAGAUGCACAGUGAAAUAUGCAAUCACCACAGAAGGAAAUGUUAAAGCAAUCCAGAAGAGUAUAAAAUGAGAAAAAAUACAUCUCUUCCACACACAGUGAAACAAACUGGCAAUGGCAGCAAACUGUUUCCUUGGAGACAUCAAAACAAAAGUUACGCGACUUUCAGUCAGCAGUGUUUUACAGUAGCACAGUAAGAGCUUCACAAAAUGCUUCAUCUGAGGGUUAAGUGCAUUUUCUGUUAGCAGAGUAAUUUCUCCAAAAUGAACAGAAUCGUACUGUUACAAAAUCAAUAGAAAAACAAAGAUUUCUUCUGCAGAUUGCAAAUAUGGAAUUUGUAUUAUUUACAAAUACUUCAUUGUUAUUUGUUUUUUUAAAUGGAUCUAUUCCAAGCCUUAAAUUUUCUAGCUUUUGUGGACUCAAAUCCAAACUGAGAUUUUCAGCCUGUAUGUAAUGGGAAACAUUUCUUUGGUUCUGAGCUACUCUGAAUCUCAUAUACAUCAAUGACAGAGCAACAAUUUUAAGCCAAUAAUUUUUAAUUAAAAAAUAUAAUAAUAAUAUUAA